Phacochoerus africanus (Common warthog) is the source of this 534-nucleotide long non-coding RNA. RefSeq lists it as uncharacterized. The record is from RefSeq and is a predicted model, not a curated record. Lineage: Eukaryota; Metazoa; Chordata; Mammalia; Artiodactyla; Suidae. The transcript is spliced from 2 exons.
AAUACACUAACAGUAAAAUGGGGGAAGACAUGGGGGAAAAAGAAAUAGAAAUAGAAGAAAUAGAAAGGGGGCAUUUUUCUUCUUAAGAGCAGCAAACUGAGGCAACCAAGGACUAAGCAGAAGUCAGAAUGAUGGAAGAAAGAAGAGAAGAAAUAGAGCCAGGAAAAGAGAAGGAAACCAGGAAGAACAUCUAACACAGAGAGCUGCUCUGCACAUUCCCGGGCCUACACCAUAGCUGCAGCAACACUGGGUCUUUAACCUAUUGCACCGGCAAAGCCACAGAGUCAAGUUGGAUCAUUAACCCACUCUGCCACUGCAGGAACUACCAUAGUACUGGAAUUUUAGCUGGGCUCAUGGCUGCCUGACUAGACUGCGUGUCCCGACCUCCCUUGCAGCUAAGUAGAGCCAUGUCAUUACAUUUUGGCCAGGAGGAUAUUAGCACUCCACAUCUUGCUCCUAGCGAAUGCCUGGAUACAUGUAUGUGUGUGCAAAUUACCAAAGGACCACCACCAAUUAAUAAACUGUUGCAUGUUA